GGCGCCAGCUGCAGUUUGAGAUAGCAGACUGGGGAGACAGCAAUACUAAUGUGUUGAAAAUGGAUGAGGGGAAAACUGUCCCGGAUUUUCAGGUGGUUCAUACAAAUGAGGGUAAGGAGGACAUCUUGUACAGCAGCAGUGACCAAAAUGAGGGUGAAAGCGGUCUACCAUAGAGUGGAAUAGCUAUAUAAUUCCUGACCUCAUACCAACACUAUGUAGAGGAGAAAGUAGGACAACUUUAGAAGUUUAUGAGAUGACAUGAAAAUGAGACAUGAAAACAACCCAGCUUCCUGAGGCCUCACUGGAAGCUGAGCAGAUGCUGGUGCCAUGCUUGUACAGUCUGCAGAACCAUGAGCCAACUACCCAGUCUCAGGUCCAGCACUGCUUCAAACUGGAUAAAUAAGCUACAAUUUCAGGCAAUCACGUGAGUAGAGGAACAUUGAGCUCUUCAUUUCUUUAGAGCAUAAAUAGGCAUCAAAAGAGGUCUUUUUUAGAAUCGCUUGAGUUGUUGAUACUCUAAGGACAAAGUGUUGCCCACUAGAAGGAAGGACCAUGGGGAAAAGCAGACCUAAUUAUAUCAGACAUCUCCAACCUUGGCAGCCCCCAUGGCAUAAGUACUUCACUCUCAUAACCCGCAUAAGUACAGUUGUUCUCUGUAGUAAAUAUGUGAUGUAAAUUUGUGGAAAUAGGAAAGGAUGGGAGAAAGAAAGGAUUCAAAAAGGAAGAGGGAAGGGGAGAAAAAUAAAAAGAAAGUAUCAUUUAACGAGAACUUUUGAGUGUUCGUGGGUGGGCAGAGAGGAAGACCUGAGAAUUAAUGGAGAGAAAAAAGAUGUGGCUAGAGAUGUAGGAGGUGAGAGGAUUCUAGAAUGAAGAUUAAUGUGAUAAAGAGGACAUUACAUAAUACGUUGGUGGGUUAUAAAUUAGUCCUCUUUGUCAUUCUUUUUAAAAAAUAAGUAAAUAAUGCAAUUAUUUUUAUGACUAUUGCUUGCCUGAUAGUACUUCUUUGUAUCCCACAAGGCCUUGACUUUUAUGGGAUGACAUCACCUGUUGCUUUCUGAGUUUUCAUCAAUUUCUAGAGCUGCAUUUUCCUCCACAAAGCCUCUUGUUCUUAGUAAUGGCUACUCACUGUACCUCUGGCCCUGCCUAUAACUCUGUUGGCUCAUGCUGCCAGAUACCUCUCUGUUGAUGUGGAGAACUGAGGAGUAACAACAUGAUAGUACAGCUUAAAAUAAAUACUAUCACAGAGAAAAAUAAAAUAAAAUAUAAGGAUCUGGGGAGAAAAUACAUUUGUAGAAACAAAGAAAAUGAGAAGACUAUGAAGUGUUGCUACAAUUAAAAUGUUGAUUCUAAAUCUGUU
Molecule: long non-coding RNA, 1357 nt
Organism: Pan troglodytes (chimpanzee)
Lineage: Eukaryota; Metazoa; Chordata; Mammalia; Primates; Hominidae
Exons: 5
Source: RefSeq, a predicted model, not a curated record